Molecule: long non-coding RNA, 2878 nt
Organism: Corythoichthys intestinalis (scribbled pipefish)
Lineage: Eukaryota; Metazoa; Chordata; Actinopteri; Syngnathiformes; Syngnathidae
Exons: 2
Source: RefSeq, a predicted model, not a curated record
UCAUAAGUACUCGUACAUACAUUGUGGGAUUCGUAAACACAUAGCACGCGAAACACACACACAUUGUGGGAUUCGUACACACAUAGCAUGCGAACCACACGCAAUUGUGGGAUUCGUACACACAUAGCACGCGAACCACACACAUUGUGGGAUUCGUAAACACAUAGCACGCGAAACACACACACAUCGUGGGAUUCGUAAACACAUAGCACGCGAAACACAAACACAUUCACCAAAUGUGUGUGUGAAUUGUUUUACGCGCAUUUGCAACGUGCUUCCAAUUACAAAUUCCCACUUACGAAUACAAAUUCCCACUUACGAAUGUGUGGAUCGUUUUGAUACCCGUCAUGCGCAACUGAGAAGAACACAUGCAUUUUUUUAACUGGAGCCCGUCUUCAGCCAAUCAGACGUCUUCUUCUUAAACAGCCAAUCACAAGGGCUGGGCUGUUUCGUUACGUCACUGCUGUGCGCCUUCAAGUCCGGUGUACUGAGUGACAAGUGACAAAUGGGGAGCUUUUGUAAAAGUAGGAGCCCCGUUUUUGACAGCUCAACUCGACCGCGGGGACUAUCGAUGCAAGCUGAAGACGUCCCAUCCAUUUUGAGUGGGAGGACCUCCCAUGCACUUCAAAUGUAUUGGAUGUCAACUGGUGAAAAACUCAUUGAACCGCUCAGCAGAGGGAUGAUGAGAGCAAGAUUAGAUGUCUAAUACUGUACUAUAUGUGGCACAUUUUUAACAGGCUUUUUUUCCGCUAAAUAAAUCUUUUUAAGAUUACUUUCUCCAUUUCAAGCCUAUUUGAAAGUCAUACUUGGGAAAAUUCAGACUUCUUAAUGUAUGAUUGUGAUGUCUAUGCUUAAACCAAUUUAAGACCAUUUUAAAAGGAAAAAAAUAGACAUUAUAAGCCUGUUAAAAAUGCUACCUACAGUGACAGUAUUUAAAGGAUGGUAGUCUAUUACGGAUAUAAAAAAAUAUAUUUUUUGAAAGACUUGGAGCAACAGAGCUUUCUUGCCAAAUGAAUCACAUUUGAUACACUUAGGAUUUAGAACUCUUUCCUCAAAAAAAAAAAAAAAAAAAAAAAAAUGGAUGCAAGUCAACUCAUGCAUCUGCAUGUUCCAUGAGAAAAACAGGAUUUAACAAGGAAAAUAGAUAUUAGAGCGCUUAUUACACAUUUUUCUUUACAAAUUUGGAAAAAAAAAGGUUUAAGACCUUAUUUUUCACAUUUUGUGAUUCUCUGACAAUUGCCACAUGAAUUUUACUACCUUUUUAAACACUUUUUUUUAUUGCGACAAACCUAAUAAGUGAUCAAUGAUGGCAAGAGAGGAUAAAGCGCAGCAGCAAAUCCUCAGAUCUGUUCUUUGGAUGCCUUUGAAAGUAAAUAGUGACAUUGAGAGCAAUCAGGAGUUCAAUUAUGUGAGGUGAGGAGACCAAGUAAGUUUUGAGACAUUUUUUUUAUUUAAAUAGACAUCUCAGACUCCCAGCCUGUAGGAGGGCACAGGCUAGAUCUCCUCGAGCCUUCAGAACUUCGGGAAGGUGGGUCUGGUUGUGCCUGAGAUCUCCAUUGGCCAUAUACUCUUCCGCAAACUGAAAUGGCAUUUUAGGCAUUCUGUUACAUAUCAGUGCUAAACAACAACAGCAGCAAAGUUUUACUGCAGAGACUCCGAAAUCUUAAAAUCAUUACCUUUAAUGUGAAAACCCCACAGCUACUGUUGUUCUGCUGCUUGUUAUGGGCCACAGUUUUGGUAGUCCAAGUUUCUAUUUGGAACUCACGGCCCGCCAACCUCAAGAAGUUCCUAAUUAUUGUUUUAUAAGCAAAACAAUGAAGAUGAACAUUGAACUAUUAACUUCCAUAUUAACAUAAUACUAGGAAUUUAAACUUUCUGAAGCGGUUACCUCCAAUUCCGCAAGAUUUUGCUCAUAUUUGUCCUCGUUACUCAAGGGAUCGUUGAUCACCAGUGUUCUCUUAGAAAUGUGGACAAUCUAUAAAAGGUUAGUUCCUUUGUGUAAUUCUGCACAAUGACAGAUUUAUGUAGUUAACUUACUAAUGAAAUUUAACUUCUGUAUGGCAUCAGCUAAAUUAAUAGCUAUAUAUAAUACAUUCCAGAAUCGGUAGGUCUUAAGAAAAUAUAAGAAACCCACUAACCACUAAAAUCCAAUGAGCGCAUACAGGACAGGACAGGACAAAUACACUUUUUUUUUCAACAGGGAAUUUCCUCUGAAGAACAUACAAUACCAAAUUAUUGUUAUUUUGGGUUACUGGCGUUAAAAUAAUAUAGCUAAAUAUUGGCAUGAAAUGGAUUACCUUUCUAACAGGCUGAAAUUUUCCCAAAAGCAGACUCCCAGCUACCACAGCAGAGAGUUGGUGAAUGGGCUCCUGUUAAAAAAAGGGGUAACAACAUUACAACUAUACUCCGGCAAAAAAUAAAUGCAUUGAGAAAAACUAUAUCCAGCACUUGGCUGCUGCCUUUCAAUGAGGAUAUGCAUGUAUGCAUCAAAUACUUGCAUAGCAAAAUAAAAAAAUUGGCAAAAGGCAAGAAUCUUUGUUAUUUGCUAAACACUUAUUGCUCCCACUGACUUCAUCAGACAGCCAGCCGUUGCCUUUUAGCGUAUGAAAAGAUGUGUCGUAUAAUUUAUACGGUCCAACGACAGCCUCCACCUUGCCUUGAUCCUCUGCAGCCCACAGUAAUUUAACUGAAAACACAACAUUGUUAAAUCAAAAAAGUUAUUAUUUACGGCACUUGACCAGAUGACCAUCCGGUCAAAAUUAUCUACUGAAUAGGCCAAACCACCAAACAAAUCCUGUCGGUCGUUCACCAAUUUUGUAAGAGCUGUACGAAGUAGAAGGGUACAAUUAGAUAUACAUUUUAGAACACCAACAACAAC